This 433-nucleotide ribosomal RNA is filed under the name uncultured bacterium. Its description in RNAcentral is "partial 16S ribosomal RNA". It matches the Rfam family "Bacterial small subunit ribosomal RNA", at positions 29 to 507 of the family's 1533-position model. The record is from RNAcentral.
AACGAACGCUGGCGGCAUGCCUAACACAUGCAAGUCGAACGAGACCUUCGGGUCUAGUGGCGCACGGGUGCGUAACGCGUGGGAACCUGCCCUUAGGUUCGGAAUAACUCCCCGAAAGGGGUGCUAAUACCGGAUAAGGUCUUCGGACCAAAGAUUUAUCGCCUUUGGAUGGGCCCGCGUUGGAUUAGCUAGUGGGUAGGGUAAAAGUCUACCAAGGCGACGAUACAUAGCUGGUCUGAGAGGAUGAUCCGCCACACUGGGACUGAGACACGGCCCAGACUCCUACGGGAGGCAGCAGUGGGGAAUAUUGGACAAUGGGCGAGAGCCUGAUCCAGAAACGCCGUGUGAGUGAUGAAGGCCUUAGGGUUGUACAGCUCUUUUACCCGAGAAGAUAAUGACAGUACCGGGAGAAUAAGCUCCGGCUAACUCCGUG